Non-coding RNA from Phyllosticta capitalensis, 132 nucleotides. The record is from the annotation of a GenBank genome assembly. NCBI's taxonomy places the organism in Eukaryota, Fungi, Ascomycota, Dothideomycetes, Botryosphaeriales, Phyllostictaceae.
GGGUACUUGGUCUAGGGGUAUGAUUUUCGCUUCGCAACAACCGUCCUUUGGAGCCUCGAGACUUCGAGAUCUGUAGUUGAUGGAGCACGUUACGUAUGUGAAAGGUCGUGGGUUCAAUUCCCACAGUAUCCA